RNAcentral lists this ribosomal RNA (240 nucleotides) under uncultured Lactobacillus sp. RNAcentral's name for it is "partial 16S ribosomal RNA". It matches the Rfam family "Bacterial small subunit ribosomal RNA", at positions 122 to 354 of the family's 1533-position model. The record is from RNAcentral. Lineage: Bacteria; Bacillati; Bacillota; Bacilli; Lactobacillales; Lactobacillaceae.
UAACCUGCCCAAGAGAUCGGGAUAACACCUGGAAACAGAUGCUAAUACCGGAUAACAACAGAUGAUGCCUAUCAACUGUUUAAAAGAUGGUUCUGCUAUCACUCUUGGAUGGACCUGCGGUGCAUUAGCUAGUUUGUAGGGUAACGGCCUACCAAGGCGAUGAUGCAUAGCCGAGUUGAGAGACUGAUCGGCCACAUUGGGACUGAGACACGGCCCAAACUCCUACGGGAGGCAGCAGAC